GUAGGUGAACCUGCGGAAGGAUCAUUAUCGAAUGAACAUGGAGUCGGUUGUCGCUGGCCCCCUUUACCGGGGGCAUGUGCACGCCUUCUCUAUUCAUCCACACACACCUGUGAACUUGUGAGACGGAUAGUAGUCCUCUUAGGGGGACGAGGUCCGUCUGCUAAUACAUAAACUCUAAUCAUAUAAAUUUGAAUGUCAUUUGAUGUAACGCAUCUAUAAACUAAGUUUCAACAACGGAUCUCUUGGCUCUC
This 251-nucleotide unclassified non-coding RNA is filed under the name rhizosphere metagenome. RNAcentral describes it as "partial ribosomal RNA internal transcribed spacer region". The record is from RNAcentral.